UGGCAGGUAGCUCAACUGGUCGAGCGCCCGAUUGUUAAUCGGGAUGAUGCUGGUUCGAAUCCGGCCCUGUCAGCCA
Molecule: transfer RNA, 76 nt
Filed under: Planctomycetota bacterium
Lineage: Bacteria; Pseudomonadati; Planctomycetota
Description: Planctomycetes bacterium (soil metagenome) tRNA-Asn
Rfam family: tRNA
About the family: Transfer RNA (tRNA) molecules are approximately 80 nucleotides in length. Their secondary structure includes four short double-helical elements and three loops (D, anti-codon, and T loops).
Source: RNAcentral